RNAcentral lists this non-coding RNA (188 nucleotides) under Lewinella sp. 4G2. The record is from RNAcentral. Lineage: Bacteria; Pseudomonadati; Bacteroidota; Saprospiria; Saprospirales; Lewinellaceae. RNAcentral also lists the same sequence under 1 other name.
CCUUCGCCCCCGCAUUCAGGUAUCCCGGCGUAACGCCCGGGAAGUAAAAGGGAAUCCGGUGUAAAUCCGGAGCUGUCCCCGCAGCUGUAAGCUUCGUAAUGUUUCGCGCCACUACGCCACUGGAGAGAUCUGGGAAGGCCGCCCGAAAUGAAGUGAGCCAGAAGACCUGCCCGAACGCACCAUAUGUU